This 508-nucleotide ribosomal RNA is filed under the name uncultured bacterium. RNAcentral describes it as "bacterial SSU rRNA". It matches the Rfam family "Bacterial small subunit ribosomal RNA", at positions 24 to 518 of the family's 1533-position model. The record is from RNAcentral.
UCAGGAUGAACGCUAGCUACAGGCUUAACACAUGCAAGUCGAGGGGCAGCAUGAGAUUAGCUUGCUAAUCUUGAUGGCGACCGGCGCACGGGUGCGUAACACGUAUCCAAUCUACCCAUGGCUCGGGGAUAGCCUUUCGAAAGAAAGAUUAAUACCCGAUGGUCUGCGAUUGAGACAUCUCGAUUGCAGUAAAGACUUGUCGGCGAUGGAUGGGGAUGCGUCCGAUUAGCUAGUUGGCGGGGUAACGGCCCACCAAGGCGACGAUCGGUAGGGUUCUGAGAGGAAGGUCCCCCCACACUGGAACUGAGACACGGUCCAGACUCCUACGGGAGGCAGCAGUGAGGAAUAUUGGUCAAUGGGCGAUGGCCUGAACCAGCCAAGUUAAGCGUGAGGGACGACGGCCCUACGGGUUGUAAACCUCUUUUGUAUGGGAAUAAAGUGAGGCCACGUGUGCCUUUUUGUAUGUACCUUACGAAUAAGCAUCGGCUAAUUCCGUGCCAGCCGCGGC